GAUGAACGCUGGCGGCGUGCCUAAUACAUGCAAGUCGAGCGAACAGACGAGGAGCUUGCUCCUUUGACGUUAGCGGCGGACGGGUGAGUAACACGUGGGUAACCUACCUAUAAGACUGGGAUAACUUCGGGAAACCGGAGCUAAUACCGGAUAAUAUUUCGAACCGCAUGGUUCGAUAGUGAAAGAUGGCUUUGCUAUCACUUAUAGAUGGACCUGCGCCGUAUUAGCUAGUUGGUAAGGUAACGGCUUACCAAGGCAACGAUACGUAGCUGACCUGAGAGGGUGAUCGGCCACACUGGAACUGAGACACGGUCCAGACUCCUACGGGAGGCAGCAGUAGGGAAUCUUCCGCAAUGGGCGAAAGCCUGACGGAGCAACGCCGCGUGAGUGAUGAAGGUCUUCGGAUCGUAAAACUCUGUUAUUAGGGAAGAACAAACGUGUAAGUAACUGUGCACGUCUUGACGGUACCUAAUCAGAAAGCCACGGCUAACUACGUG
Molecule: ribosomal RNA, 497 nt
Filed under: uncultured bacterium
Lineage: Bacteria
Description: partial 16S ribosomal RNA
Rfam family: Bacterial small subunit ribosomal RNA
Source: RNAcentral